UACGUAGGGGGCAAGCGUUGUCCGGAAUCAUUGGGCGUAAAGAGCGUGUAGGCGGCCCGAUAAGUCCGCUGUGAAAGUCCAGGGCUCAACCCUGGGAUGCCGGUGGAUACUGUCGGGCUCGAGUCCGGAAGAGGAGUGUGGAAUUCCUGGUGUAGCGGUGAAAUGCGCAGAUAUCAGGAGGAACACCAAUGGCGAAGGCAGCUCGCUGGGACGUGACUGACGCUGAGACGCGAAAGCGUGGGGAGCAAACAGG
RNAcentral lists this ribosomal RNA (253 nucleotides) under uncultured bacterium. RNAcentral describes it as "partial 16S ribosomal RNA". It matches the Rfam family "Bacterial small subunit ribosomal RNA", at positions 524 to 776 of the family's 1533-position model. The record is from RNAcentral.